AUUGAACGCUGGCGGCAUGCCUUACACAUGCAAGUCGAACGGUAACGGGCCUUCGGGUGCCGACGAGUGGCGCACGGGUGAGUAAUACAUCGGAACGUGCCCGAUCGUGGGGGAUAACGAGGCGAAAGCUUUGCUAAUACCGCAUACGAUCUACGGAUGAAAGCAGGGGACCGCAAGGCCUUGCGCGGACGGAGCGGCCGAUGGCAGAUUAGGUAGUUGGCGGGAUAAAAGCUUACCAAGCCGACGAUCUGUAGCUGGUCUGAGAGGAUGAUCAGCCACACUGGGACUGAGACACGGCCCAGACUCCUACGGGAGGCAGCGGCGGGGAAUUUUGGACAAUGGGCGCAAGCCUGAUCCAGCCAUGCCGCGUGCAGGAUGAAGGCCUUCGGGUUGUAAACUGCUUUUGUACGGAACGAAAAGCCUUCUUUUAAUACAGGAGGGUCAUGACGGUACCGUAAGAAUAAGCACCGGCUAACUACGUG
RNAcentral lists this ribosomal RNA (482 nucleotides) under uncultured bacterium. Its description in RNAcentral is "partial 16S ribosomal RNA". It matches the Rfam family "Bacterial small subunit ribosomal RNA", at positions 30 to 507 of the family's 1533-position model. The record is from RNAcentral.